This 2154-nucleotide long non-coding RNA is filed under the name Salmo salar (Atlantic salmon). Its description in RNAcentral is "lncRNA (ENSSSAG00000099812.1)". The record is from RNAcentral. Lineage: Eukaryota; Metazoa; Chordata; Actinopteri; Salmoniformes; Salmonidae.
UGAAGAGUAUUAAAACCAUCCUGCAGAAGUAAUUAGCGACCAGAAGGGGGCUCUCUUGUGUUACACUAGCGGUUGCCAAACACUUCCAUGCUGUGGUGGCCCGACUAAAGCCUUUGGAUAUAUCUUUCUGCAGCUUACUAACUAAACAAAAGCAAUGUUGUUCAGCACAAAUACAACAUUCUCACUCUCUACUCCACCAACAGGGCGGAGAGGAAGAGAGCCAGUGUGAAGCAGCAGAGUCUCAGCAGAAACCUCUUCAUCCUGGAAAGAACGGACCAAUCAGGACAGCCAUAUUUCAGUCCCGCCCCUCAGGUCCAGGAAGCCCUUGUUGCCAGCCAGAUAAUCUUGUCAAGCAAACUGACUCCUGCGCUCACAGAAUAUGAGCUAUCGCAACAUCAGGCUGGUUCCACCAGGCUACCUUCCAGGACCAGAGCCAGUGAAAGGUGGUGAGGGGGAGGCGUCUCAGAUCCAGGCAUUGGUGGACCCUGCCUAGUGUUCGUCCUCCAGAACCCUCCUGGUCCUGACUUUUGUGUCCAGAGAGGAACCAGACCCAAUCAGAACCACUAGUCCCAGUACUGCUAGAUUAAAGACCAGGAACCCCAGUGUGGAUAUUGCACAGAGGCUCUGCCUGUCCCUGCUACCCAACCUCUGUCUGUCUGUCUGUCUGUCUGUCUGUCUGUCUGUCUGUCUGUCUGUCUGUCUGUCUGUCUGUCUGUCUGUCUGUCUGUCUGUCUGUCUGUCUGCCUGCCUGCCUGCCUGCCUGCCUGCCUGCCUGCCUGCCUGCCUGCCGGAGUGCUCUGGUCUCAGACUGUAGCUAGCUGUCUAAGGAGCCUGUCUGCUGGGGUGCUCUGGUCUCAGGCAGUAGCUAGCUGUCUAAGGAGCCUGUCUGCUGGGGUGCUCUGGUCUUAGACUGUAGCUAGCUGUCAGAGGAUCCUGUCUGCUGGGGUGUUCUGGUCUCAGGCUGUAGCUAGCUGUCCAAGGAACCUGUCUGCUGGGGUGCUGUGGUCUCAGACUGUAGCUAGCUGUCAGAAGUUCCUGUCUGCUGGGGUGCUCUGGUCUCAGGCUGUAGCUAGCUGUCAGAGGAUCCUGUCUGCUGGGGUGCUCUGGUCUCAGACUGUAGCUAGCUGUCAGAGGAUCCUGUCUGCUGGGGUGCUCUGGUCUCAGGCUGUAGCUAGCUGUCAGAGGAUCCUGUCUGCUGGGGUGCUCUGGUCUCAGGCUGUAGCUAGCUGUCAGAGGAUCCUGUCUGCUGGGGUGCUGUGGUCUCAGGCUGUAGCUAGCUGUCAGAGGAUCCUGUCUGCUGGGGUGCUGUGGUCUCAGGCUGUUGCUAGCUGUCAGAGGAUCCUGUCUGCUGGGGUGCUGUGGUCACAGGAUCCUGUCUGCUGGGGUGCUGUGGUCUCAGGCUGUAGCUAGCUGUCAGAGGAUCCUGUCUGCUGGGGUGCUGUGGUCUCAGGCUUUAGCUAGCUGUCAGAGGAUCCUGUCUGCUGGGGUGCUGUGGUCUCAGGCUGUAGCUAGCUGUCCAAGGAUCCUGUCUGCUGGGGUGCUGUGGUCUCAGGCUGUAGCUAGCCUUCAGAGGAUCCUGUCUGCUGGGGUGCUCUGUUCUCAGGCUGUAGCUAGCUGUCAGAGGAUCCUGUCUGCUGGGGUGCUCUGGUCUCAGGCUGUAGCUAGCUGUCAGAGGUUCCUGUCUGCUGGGGUGCUCUGGUCUCAGGCUGUAGCUAGCUGUCAGAGGAUCCUCUCUGCUGGGGUGCUGUGGUCUCAGGCUGUAGCUAGCUAUCUAAGGAACUACCUUCAGCACAAAUGCUUCUGAAGGAAUGUUCUACCUCUGAUGUGCCUUGUUUCAAUGAAUCGCAAAAGAAAAAGUCAUUAUUGGGUUAAUAUUAUUUAAUAACCCUGUCAAAAUGUUUUGGUGAAUAAAUUGUGGGUUGUGAAACAAAACAGAAGUGAAGAGAACUACUGUUUAACUGUAGCUACGGUACUUUAAUGAAGAUAAUGAAGGGUUUUGGUUAUGACAUUGUUUUCUUCUACUACUACUGCGUAGUUUAGAAGCAUUUAGAAUCAUAUUGAUGUGACAAGGAAUUAUGGGUAAUUAUUUUUUUAUACCUUUAUUUCAGCAAAUCAUGCAAUUUUUAUUUGAUUUCUUUCAAAAGUAAAAAAAUU